UACGGAGGGUGCAAGCGUUGUUCGGAUUCAUUGGGCGUAAAGCGAGUGUAGGCGGUUUGACAAGUCGGAUGUGAAAUCCCGGGGCCAACCCGGACUGCAUCCGAUACUGUCUGGCUAGAGUCCCGGAGAGGGUGGCGGAAUUCCCGGUGUAGGGGUGAAAUCCGUAGAUAUCGGGAGGAACACCAGUGGCGAAGGCGGCCACCUGGACGGUGACUGACGCUGAGACUCGAAAGCGUGGGUAGCAAACAGGAUUAGAAACCCCGGUAGU
This 268-nucleotide ribosomal RNA is filed under the name uncultured bacterium. Its description in RNAcentral is "partial 16S ribosomal RNA". It matches the Rfam family "Bacterial small subunit ribosomal RNA", at positions 524 to 794 of the family's 1533-position model. The record is from RNAcentral.